Molecule: ribosomal RNA, 301 nt
Filed under: uncultured bacterium
Lineage: Bacteria
Description: partial 16S ribosomal RNA
Rfam family: Bacterial small subunit ribosomal RNA
Source: RNAcentral
CAGUAGCCACGGUAAUACGAAGGGGGCUAGCGUUGUUCGGAAUUACUGGGCGUAAAGCGCACGUAGGCGGCUUUGUAAGUAAGAGGUGAAAGCCCGGAGCUCAACUCCGGAACUGCCUUUUAGACUGCAUCGCUUGAAUCCAGGAGAGGUGAGUGGAAUUCCGAGUGUAGAGGUGAAAUUCGUAGAUAUUCGGAAGAACACCAGUGGCGAAGGCGGCUCACUGGACUGGUAUUGACGCUGAGGUGCGAAAGCGUGGGGAGCAAACAGGAUUAGAUACCCCUGUAGUCCCUGUCUCUUAUAC